AGUAUAUAUAGAAAGGGACAAAUUAACAGGUAUGGAGCAUCUGUGAGUGAGGCACUGUUCUAGGAACCUUCAAGAUGGUGUCAUCAAACUCUCACAGUAAUGCAGGGUAAGAGUUUGGAAGGCUUCAAAAAUUGUCAUUAUUUUUCCCCCACUCCACAUAUCCAUGCCUUUUGUAGUGUGCCUUUGUGGCUCUUACCAUCAAGUAGAAUAGUCUAUUUCUACACCCACUUGAAUCUGGGCUAGCCUUGUGACGUGUUUUUAAUAGAAUGCAGCAGAAGUGACAUUCUGCCAGUUCUGAGCCUAAACCUGUAGGAGGUCUAGCAUACUUCCAUGUAGCCACCAUGAGAACAAGCCCAGGCCCUCUUUUUGGAGGAUGAAUGAGAGAUGGGCUAUAGAUGAGCCAUUGUGACUGAAGCCCAAACCUGUAAGACAGCCCAGGCAAGAUUAGGAAACCAACCCCCAGUCAACCCUCGGUUGGCCAUAAACACUUGAGUAAGCCAUGCCCAAAACAGCUGAGCCAGAGCAGAACUAUGAACUAACAAGUGUUUGUUAUUUUAAGCCACUGACUUUGGGAGGUGGUUUGCUGUACAGCAAUAGUUAAUUGAUACAAGAUGAUAGUCUUAUUUCCUUUUAAGAUAGGAUGAAAUUAAGGCAUAGAGAGAUGAAAUAAUUUAUCCAAGGAGGCACAGCUAGUAAGUGGGGAAACUCAAGAUUCAAUCCAAGCACUAAAUAAAUCUAAGGUUUCUUCUUCCACUACAACCUCUGCCAGUAGAAUGGAAACAAGAAGAAAAACUAACAAAACCAAAUGUCAUAGCUAUUUAAAUAUGACAAAACUGAAAUCACUUCCCCAGCUGUCUUCUGGAUAGUAUGUAAUGUGUGUGCAUCUGUAUAUGUUUGCAGAGAACAAUCUAUUCAAUGGAGAGAAUGAGAUGCAAACAGAAGUUUAUUUGGGAUUCUGGACGAGUGGAGAGGAGGAAUUACUUGUAUGGCUUUGCCCAUUUGAGGAUUCAACAUCUUGGGAUUGCUUCUAACAGGAUGCUGCAGAUCAAGGGAAAUCCUCCAGGAGAGAGUUGUUGCCUGAGGCCCAUGAAGAAAAAGCACAAAAUCUUGUGAUAACAGAAAUAGGUCCAAACUGAUGGUUUGAGUUGUUAAGUCGUAUCUAGUUUACCUUCUGGAAUUCCAACAUUUAACAAGCGUGUUUUGGGGGGCAGAGUGGUUUAGAGAAGGGAUGAAACAACUUACAAGAAAAUUGUUUGACUUAAAAGGUUCAAAUGUACUAUUCUACUUAUAUUUUGAAGGCAAAUAAAGCUUGAUUGAGCAACUAAGUUAAUCAUUGACUCGCACUUGUUCCAUUAAAUUGAUAUGCCAUAGGUAAGUAUAAACUUAGUUUCUUCCUUUUUCAAGGUUGUUUCCUAACUGGGCAGAACAAUGACACAUUAGUUUUGGAUUAUCUGUAAUCUAGUCUAAUUUUUGUAAUUAUUAUUAUUUGAGAUUAUCUUAAUCUAGUAAUCUGAUCAUUGUGGCUGGAGAAAGCCAGUCACUCUAGCACAACAGAUCUUUAGAUAUGUCCAGAAAAAGAAUGCUCAAUGUGCCGGUGGCCCUUGAAUUGCACCCAUUGGUCCAAGUUCCUGGAGCUUAAGCAAAGACGAUGCAAAUAAUAUCCACUGACCAUUUGCCACUGCUGCCUGAGGGACCAGACUGUGAUGAAAUAGUUGAAUUUACAAGACAAACGCUUCAUGAAGACAAGAAAUGACUCAUCAUUGAGAAGAAAAGGAGGCGGAUGUAGCAUAUGCCUAACAUAUCUAAGUGACUCUCUGGAGAAGGGCUCAUUGCCAGCAAAUAGGACAUUACCCUCACCAAGCGAUUUAAGAGAAAAUCCUAGGCAUUCCAUUAUUUUCACCAGUUAAAGUUUAUCCAAUAUUUGACUGAAUGAAUAAGAAGCUAUGCAUUGUUAUCACAUUGAAGCAGUGAUGUAAAUGACAAGAAAGCUGUAAACAGAUAUAAGAAAAGAAUGAAGUUUGUGGCUGGGUAGGGGAUGAACAUUCAUUGAGAUCUGGGCAUUACAUACCACAUGAAAUGCUUUACAAUAUAAGGUUUUUCAACCUCAGCACUAUUGACAUUUGAGGCCAGAUAAUUUUUUGCUGUGGGGAGCUGUGCUGUACACUGCAGGAUGCAUUGCAAGAUCCUUGGCCUGAAUUCAAUAGCUGUCAGUAGCACUGUUCCCCAAUUGAAACAACCAAAAAUAUCUCAAGACGUUGCUAAAUGUUCCUUGAGUAGGAAAAUCUCCAUUGGUUGAAACUGUGACUUUACAAUAAUAGUAAUAGCUAAUAUUACUAAUUAACCAUUAACUAUUAAACCAUUAACCUUUAUUAAAGGUUUACUAGAUAUCAAGUGUUGAUUUAAACCCUUUCUUUUAUGUUUACCUUUUUUAUGAUCAACUCUAUCACUCAUAAAAAAUAGUGCAGAAAACAAAAUGUAUAGCUGAAUGAUUUAUCAAGCAGGGAACAUCUAUGUAACCACCAACCAGGUUAGGGGGAUAAAAGGACAUUGCCAUCUUUAGAAGAUGCCAUCUUUAGAAGCUUCCAUUGUACCCCCCACCAAAUCUCAAAAAACUAUCUGCCCCACAAGGUAACCACUGUCCUAAACUUCCUUGUCUUACUUUAUAGUUUAACUACUUAAACAUGUAUCUCUAAAGCUAUAGUUUACCUGUCAUGCAACCAUUCUCAGGCAUUUACAGGUGGAUGUGUUCCAUUAAAACAAAAAGUAAACCAAAAAGAAAACGACUUGCAGUUUAGGAAACAGAGGAGACAACACAAGAAUCCUCAAGGUGAUGAGGAGGAUCAUUUCAGAAUAGCAGCUGGCACCUAACACAAAAGGACCUGGCACCCACCAGCCCACAAUGGAGCAAGUAAGACAGACUCAGGAUAGAUUUCUUCAAGGAAAUGUCAUCAGUAUAAGUGCCUGAUGCAUCUGAAUGUACCAAGAGGUGAUUUGGACAGCUGGUGGAACUUUUUGGCUUCACUUAGAGAAAGGUGCAUAGGAAAUUAAACAAAUAAAGGAUAAUUUCACUAUGAAAAACAAAAAACAGUGCAAAAAAGUUAUCCUAGUACACUAUGUGACUCAAUCAUAAAUUAUUUACAUUGUCAUAGUGUAAACACUGAGUAUUGCUCUAACUGAUAUAACUAUAUUCAUGUACAGGAUAAGGGAAAGUGUGGUGAUAAGAUGGAGAGGUAUAUGAAAAUUGAGGGAAUUAAAUCCUCCCAAGUUAUGAAGCCAAUAGAUAAUGCCUAACAGAAGCAUGUUUUUUAGAGAUAUGAUGGUAAAUAUCUAAAGUAUUCACUUAGAAAGAUGAAAAUGGUUGCCUCUUAGGAGGAAGAAAUGGGAGUAAAAUGAAGCCUACUGUUUUUCAUAUCAAACUUUGUAACACUACUUGACUCUUAAGUCAUGUGCAUGCAAAUUUUUAACGAAAAUGAAUACUUUAAAAUUCACUUUACAAGAGGUAAUUAUGAUACAGGUAAAUCCAUAAGUAGUGCUUGAAGCAAAAUAAAUAGAAAAUAGAUAGUGUAUGCAUAAACCCAGGUUUAACAUACUUUUCCUGAAUGAUCAUUUGCAAAUAGGUAGUGCAGUUGUUUGGGGUUCUCCAGAAAUAAAAAUGAAAUGGCAGUAAACUCACCUCAUCCCAUUCAAGCAAAAAUGUUAAGGGAUGUGUCUGUAAGAUACAAGGCACCACAGUGCAACUGGCCCUUUGUAUCCACAAGGCCAACCAACCACAGAUCAGAAAUUCUCAAUAAAUAAAAAAAAACAACAAUAAAAAUAAUACACAAUUUUAAAAAUACAGUAUGAUAAUCAUUUACAUAGCAUUUACCUUGCAUCAGGUAUUGUAAGUAAUCAAGAUACUGAAAGCAUAUGGGAGGAUGUGCAUAGGCCAUAUGCAAAUACAGCAUCAUUUUAUACAAGGGACUUGAACAUCUGUAGAUUUUGGUACCCUGGAGGUCCUGGAACCAAUCUCCUAUGCAUACCGAGGGAUGACUUUACAGGGAAAUUUAAAUGCUCAGGAAGAAAGCUCUUCUUCCCAGUGAAAUAAGUAUUCACUCACCUUCUAUAUUUUAACAUAAUUCUUGCUUUCUAGAUCACGCAUUAUAAGAAGAGUUAUCAAGAAUAUCCUACUAUUUCAAUUAUUUCAGCCUGGAGAAUACCUGGCACCUCAAACUUCCAAAUCCUUUGUCUUCCCAAGGAGGUAUCUGAGGUGCUCAGUGACCACUGAAAGUUUCCUAGGGAGGACACAGAUGCUGUGGAGUGAGCACAGACAUGUGUGUCAUGUCUAUUUUGGUUCAAAUCCCAGUUCUAUUCUUAAUAGGUGUCUCAUCUUGGUGAAAUUAUUUAAUCUCUCUUAAUCACAGCUUUGACAUCUAAAAAUACAAGGAUAAUAAUGCCUACAUUGCUCGAUGUUUCUCAAAAUCAAAUAGAUAGUUUUUAUAAAGUUCUUGGCACAUAGAUGGUUCUCUAGCAAAUUUAGCUAAUGUUAUAAUUAUUGUCAUCAUUAUAAUUAUAAUUAUUAUUAUUACUACCGCUGUUGCCAAUGGUAUUACAUCCAACCCACUGCACAGUGCCUUUAUAAAACAGCUCCUGCUUCAUUUUUCUCCGCUUCUAUGGAUUCCAAUCUUGCUGAGGCCACUGGGUCUUGGCUGAUUUUUGGUUUUGGUUUUUGAUUUUUUUGAGACAGGGUCUUACUC
RNAcentral lists this long non-coding RNA (4733 nucleotides) under Homo sapiens (human). RNAcentral's name for it is "HSALNT0314724". Lineage: Eukaryota; Metazoa; Chordata; Mammalia; Primates; Hominidae. The record is from RNAcentral.